GACGAACGCUGGCUGCUCGCCUAACACAUGCAAGUCGAACGAUCUAGGUCGAUCUUGCUUUCUUGAGCGAGUGGCGGACGUGUGAGUAACACUUGAGGAACCUUCCUCAAAGGGGGGUACAACAGUUGGAAACGACUGCUAAUACCGCAUGAGCCCACGGUGCCGCGUGGCACCGAGGGAAAAUGAGCAAUCCGCUUUGAGAUGGCCUCGCGUCCGAUUAGCUAGUUGGUGAGGUAACGGCCCACCAAGGCGACGAUCGGUAGCCGGACUGAGAGGUUGAAAGGCCACAUUGGGAAUGAGACACGGCCCAGACUCCUACGGGAGGCAGCAGUGGGGAAUAUUGCACAAUGGGGGAAAUCCUGAUGCCGCGACGCCGCGUGGAGGAAGAAGGUCUUCGGAUUGUAAACUCCUGUUGUUGGGGAAGAUAAUGACGGUACCCAAAAAGGAAGUGACGGCUAACUACGUG
This 466-nucleotide ribosomal RNA is filed under the name uncultured bacterium. Its description in RNAcentral is "partial 16S ribosomal RNA". It matches the Rfam family "Bacterial small subunit ribosomal RNA", at positions 28 to 507 of the family's 1533-position model. The record is from RNAcentral.